Molecule: long non-coding RNA, 834 nt
Filed under: Homo sapiens (human)
Lineage: Eukaryota; Metazoa; Chordata; Mammalia; Primates; Hominidae
Description: HSALNT0371807
Source: RNAcentral
GCUGAGACAUGGACCCUACUUUACGCCAAGCAGAGGGCCGUGGGGUUCCCUCGUGUGACUGUGAGGUUUGCUGGAGACUGCGAGCCUGCCAGUGUGGCCUCUGCCCUGCCUGGUGCCCAUCCUGUCUCCGAUCCACCUGCACGCCGCAUCCUGGAUCCUCAUCUCCCGCACCCAUGGAUUUCAGCAUCCAGUGUUUCUUGGCGUUCCCUCUCACAGGCCCAGUUCCUCAUGGACGUGAGACCUUCCCACCCAGCGUCUCCCCGAACACGGCCGAAUAACAGAAGAUCUUCUUCAGAAACCUCAAGCUCCGAUGAUGCCUUCAGACCCAUGAAGAUGGAGUGUGAAAUUCCAUGAAUAUCGAGUCUAUUUUCUGGACCCCAGAGGCUUCAAUGGAAAAUUGAAGAAUAUGAAUGAAUAUAGCAAAUUUCAGCAGAGAGAUCGAAAGGACCACAGAGGAUGAAAUGAUGAAAUGCUCAUGCAAGAGAAAAAUCUCAACAAAGGAGCUACAGAAUGCUUUCCCCAGACUGUCUGUCUGACACCAGAUUUGACAACACUUUGUAAAUAACCAGGAGCCACAGUAGAAAUAUUCUAGGGAAUGGGAAUCACUGUCUCCUGAGGUAACAAAGAAAUAUAGAAAGCCAACAAAAUGUUUAGAAUUAUAAUCAUGAUAAUAAUGAUAGCUAGCAUUUAUUGAGUACUUGCUGUGUUCCAGCCAGGCUUGGUACUAACCUCUGUAUAUUUAGUAACUCAUCCAUUGGCUCUAUGUGACAUGUCCUACAAUCAGUCCAAGAGUAGGAAACUGACGGUGACAGAGAUGAAAAGACUUUUUUUUUU